RNAcentral lists this ribosomal RNA (487 nucleotides) under uncultured bacterium. RNAcentral describes it as "partial 16S ribosomal RNA". It matches the Rfam family "Bacterial small subunit ribosomal RNA", at positions 28 to 507 of the family's 1533-position model. The record is from RNAcentral.
GACGAACGCUGGCGGCGUGCUUAACACAUGCAAGUCGAACGGGCUCUGUCUGGCUGUGUGCUGGGUGGGGUUAGUGGCGAACGGGUGAGUAAUACGUGAGUAACCUGCCCUCUUCUUUGGGAUAAGCCUUGGAAACGGGGUCUAAUACUGGAUAUUCCUGUCUGGUCGCAUGGCUGGGUGGGGAAAGUUUUUUUCGGUGGGGGAUGGGCUCGCGGCCUAUCAGCUUGGUGGUGGGGUGAUGGCCUACCAAGGCGGCGACGGGUAGCCGGCCUGAGAGGGGGACCGGCCACACUGGGACUGAGAUACGGCCCAGACUCCUACGGGAGGCAGCAGUGGGGGAUAUUGCACAAUGGGCGCAAGCCUGAUGCAGCGACGCCGCGUGGGGGAUGACGGCUUUCGGGUUGUAAACCUCUUUCGUCGGGGGACAAGGCUCUGCUUGGUGGUGGGGUUGAGGGUACCCGGUGAAGAAGCGCCGGCUAACUACGUG